RNAcentral lists this ribosomal RNA (253 nucleotides) under uncultured bacterium. RNAcentral's name for it is "partial 16S ribosomal RNA". It matches the Rfam family "Bacterial small subunit ribosomal RNA", at positions 524 to 776 of the family's 1533-position model. The record is from RNAcentral.
UACGAAGGGGGCUAGCGUUGUUCGGAAUUACUGGGCGUAAAGGGCGCGUAGGCGGUGCUUCAAGUCAGGCGUGAAAGCCCCGGGCUCAACCUGGGAACCGCGCUUGAGACUGGAGCACUCGAGUUCGGGAGAGGAUGGUGGAAUUCCCAGUGUAGAGGUGAAAUUCGUAGAUAUUGGGAAGAACACCGAUGGCGAAGGCAGCCAUCUGGACCGACACUGACGCUGAGGCGCGAAAGCUAGGGGAGCGAACGGG